UGCUUUGCACAGUCACAGUAUUGUAGCCAAUGAGGUUUAUCCGAGGCGCGAUUAUUGCUAAUUGAAAACUUUUAAAGAGCCUUGGUGGUGCAGGCUGUUAAAUGCCUAGCACUUAAUUUCAGCUGCCUGCAAUUACUGCAGGCUCGAAUCCCAG
Molecule: small nuclear RNA, 154 nt
Filed under: Naja naja (Indian cobra)
Lineage: Eukaryota; Metazoa; Chordata; Lepidosauria; Squamata; Elapidae
Description: U4 spliceosomal RNA (ENSNNAG00000018868.1)
Rfam family: U4 spliceosomal RNA
About the family: U4 small nuclear RNA (U4 snRNA) is a component of the major U2-dependent spliceosome. The structure of U4 snRNA from yeast and human has been reported.
Source: Rfam by way of RNAcentral